UCCCGUCGUCGUGCUUAGUGGCGUACGGGUGAGUAACACGUGAGUAAUCUGCCCUCGACUCUGGGAUAAGCCGGGAAACUGGGUCUAUACCGGAUAUGACCUCGCACCCUUUGGUGCGGGGUGGAAAGAUUUAUCGGUGGGGGAUGGACUCUGGGCCUAUCACCUUGUUGGUGGGGGAAGGGGUCACCAAGGCCAAAACCGGUAACCGGUCUGUGAGGUUGACCGGCCAUCAUGGGACUGAGACCCGGCCCACACUCCUACCUCAUGCAGCAGUGGGGAAUGUUGCACCUUGGGCGCUGGCCUGAUGCCUGAACCCCCCACGCCGCAUGACGGACUUCGGGCUGUAGGUUCUUUCCUCUUUCAAGAAGGACGAGUCCCCUCGGGUGCAUAAGAAGCAGGGUGACGGUACCUGCCAGAAGCCGCCCUGCUAACUACGUGCCAGCGCCGUGCGGAUUCAUUGGGGGCAAGCGUUCCCGGAUUUAUUGGGUCGUAAAGAGUAUGUAGGGCGGCCAGACAGGUCCGAUGUGAAUACUAGAGGCUCAACCUCUAGACGUCGAUGGAAACCGGUCUGGCUAGAGUCCAGAAGAGGAGAGAUGGAAUUCGUGGUGUAGCGGUGAAAUGCGCAGAUAUCAGGAAGAACACCCGUGGCUAAGGCGGCUCUCUAGUACGGUACUGACGCUGAGACGUGAAAGCGUGGGGAGCGAACAGGAUUAGAUAUCCGAGUAGUCCAUAGUCGUAAACGAUGGGUUGCUAAGGUGUGGGGGGGUGUCGACUCCCUUCGUGCCGAAGGUAACGCAUUAAGCUCCUCCGCCUGGAGAGUACGGCCGCCAGGUUAAAACUCAAAAGAAUUGACGGGGGCCCGCACCAGCAGCGGAGCAUGUUGUUUAAUUUGACGCAACCCGAAGAACUUUUCCAAGGUCUGACAUGAUUGGGAAAACCGUAGAAAUUCGGUCGUCCUUCGUCACUGGAUCACAGGUGGCACAUGGCUGUUGUCAGCUUGUGUCGUGAGAUGUUGGGUUAAGUCCCGCAACGAGCGCAACCCCUGUCCUAUGUUGCCAGCGAGUUAUGUCGGGGACUCAUGGGAGACUGCCGGUGACAAAUCGGAGGAAGGUGGGGAUGACGUCAAGUCAUCAUGCCCCUUAUGUCUUGGGCUACAAACGUGAUACAAUGGCUGUGACAAAGAGUAGCUGAAACGCGAGUUUUUAGCCAAUCUCAAAAAAGCAGUCUCAGUUCGGAUUGAAGUCUGUAACUCGACUUCAUGAAGUUGGAAUCGCUAGUAAUCGCGAAUCAGCAACGUCGCGGUGAAUACGUUCUCGGGGUUUGUACACACCGCCCGUCAAACCACGAAAGUUAGCAAUGCCCGAAAGCAGUAGCUUAACUUCGCAAGAAGAGGG
This 1394-nucleotide ribosomal RNA is filed under the name Brinjal little leaf phytoplasma. RNAcentral describes it as "partial 16S ribosomal RNA". It matches the Rfam family "Bacterial small subunit ribosomal RNA", at positions 78 to 1450 of the family's 1533-position model. Lineage: Bacteria; Bacillati; Mycoplasmatota; Mollicutes; Acholeplasmatales; Acholeplasmataceae. The record is from RNAcentral.